This 468-nucleotide ribosomal RNA is filed under the name uncultured bacterium. Its description in RNAcentral is "partial 16S ribosomal RNA". It matches the Rfam family "Bacterial small subunit ribosomal RNA", at positions 28 to 507 of the family's 1533-position model. The record is from RNAcentral.
GACGAACGCUGGCGGCGUGCUUAACACAUGCAAGUCGAACGGAAAGGCCCUGCUUUUGUGGGGUGCUCGAGUGGCGAACGGGUGAGUAACACGUGAGUAACCUGCCCUUGACUUUGGGAUAACUUCAGGAAACUGGGGCUAUUACCGGAUAGGAGCACCUGAUGCAUGGUGGGGGUUGGAAAGUUUCGGCGGUUGGGGAUGGACUCGCGGCUUAUCAGCUUGUUGGUGGGGUAGUGGCUUACCAAGGCUUGGACGGGUAGCCGGCCUGAGAGGGUGACCGGCCACAUUGGGACUGAGAUACGGACCGGACUCCUACGGGAGGCAGCAGUGGGGAAUAUUGCACAAUGGGCGGAAGCCUGAUGCAGCAACGCCGCGUGCGGGAUGACGGCCUUCGGGGUGUAAACCGCUUUCGCCUGUGACGAAGCGUGAGUGACGGUAAUGGGUAAAGAAGCACCGGCUAACUACGUG